Artibeus jamaicensis (Jamaican fruit-eating bat) is the source of this 669-nucleotide long non-coding RNA. RefSeq lists it as uncharacterized. The transcript has 3 exons. NCBI's taxonomy places the organism in Eukaryota, Metazoa, Chordata, Mammalia, Chiroptera, Phyllostomidae. The record is from RefSeq and is a predicted model, not a curated record.
AGGAUGCGCUAAUAAGGAAAACAGAAGUUCUGUCUGCAUGGAAGUAAAGUAACAUCGUAGUGGGGAAAGGUGACCAGGUACAUAAUCGGGAUGAGGUCAAUCUGUGGCGGUCUCUUGGUUCCUCAUGUCCUGAUUGUGGCGGAGGUAGCAGCUUCCACGGUGGAUCAAUGCAGGGGUCUUUCCUAGACGCCCAGCCUAGAGACUGCUCACCCAGUCUUUUCCAACUCUGCCUAAGUAGCAGAAAACAUGCGAAGUAUUCACCUGUCCAGGUCAACGGUCCAUCUUGCUGUCCUACAUCUGGGUUAUAUCAGCUCUCCAGCUCUGUUGAAAUCUCAUCCGAGGCACUUUAACCAUCUCACCUUUCCCAGCGGAACAUCACUUGACAUGUGUUUACAUCAUGUUUUUGGACCUAAUAAGCAAGGAGUAGCAGGUAGGUAUCCAAAUGCUUUGAGUAAAAAAUAAUACAUACAUACAUACAUACAAUGUGUUUUAGAGGAUAAGCAAAAAUCCUGUGGAAAUUAAGGGCACUUUCAUCUCUGUGAAGUUCUUAAGGAUCCAGAGGAGUAGUCAGGAGCACAGCAGCUAGUCUAAAGUGAGCUGUUACACUGUACACUCCCCACCACUAAGAAAACAUCUGAACAUUUGACGGAUUACUUUUGGUCUUAGAAG